Molecule: long non-coding RNA, 271 nt
Organism: Theobroma umbraticum
Lineage: Eukaryota; Viridiplantae; Streptophyta; Magnoliopsida; Malvales; Malvaceae
Source: RefSeq, a predicted model, not a curated record
CGGAAAGACAAAGAUCGGGGAGGCAAAACUAAAAAGGAGUUUCACACUUUCAAGUUCAAGCCGAGGAAGGGUUACUCUCAAAAGAAAAUCAGUGAAGCUUCAGUUGGCAUUCCACUUUCUUCCAAGAAAGAAAACAUCGAACAAGCCAUGCAACAGGGUACUGGAGGAUCUGAGACGGAGGUUACUUGGGAAGAUCAACAGAACAUUAACAAAUUUGGAAGAUUAAACAAUCGAUUUCACGAGCUUGAAGAUGAAAUCAAGAUUGCCAAGG